GUGGCUGUGGCUCAGGGCAGAGCGCUUGCCUGGCAAGUGGGAGGCACUGGGUUUGAGCCUCAGCACCACG
Molecule: transfer RNA, 70 nt
Filed under: Ictidomys tridecemlineatus (thirteen-lined ground squirrel)
Lineage: Eukaryota; Metazoa; Chordata; Mammalia; Rodentia; Sciuridae
Description: Spermophilus tridecemlineatus (thirteen-lined ground squirrel) tRNA
Rfam family: tRNA
About the family: Transfer RNA (tRNA) molecules are approximately 80 nucleotides in length.
Source: Rfam by way of RNAcentral